ACGCUCGACACCUACGGGAGCAGCAGUGGGGAAUAUUGCACAAUGGGGGAAACCCUGAUGCAGCGACGCCGCGUGGAGGAAGAAGGUCUUCGGAUUGUAAACUCCUGUUGUUGGGGAAAAAGAGGAUGGUACCCAACAAGGAAGUGACGGCUAACUACGUGCCAGCAGCCACGGUAAUCUGAGCGGGCUGGCAAGGC
RNAcentral lists this ribosomal RNA (197 nucleotides) under uncultured bacterium. RNAcentral's name for it is "partial 16S ribosomal RNA". It matches the Rfam family "Bacterial small subunit ribosomal RNA", at positions 328 to 539 of the family's 1533-position model. The record is from RNAcentral.